This 253-nucleotide ribosomal RNA is filed under the name uncultured bacterium. Its description in RNAcentral is "partial 16S ribosomal RNA". It matches the Rfam family "Bacterial small subunit ribosomal RNA", at positions 524 to 776 of the family's 1533-position model. The record is from RNAcentral.
UACGAAGGGGGCUAGCGUUGCUCGGAAUCACUGGGCGUAAAGCGUGCGUAGACGGUAGCGUAAGUCAGAUGUGAAAGCCCCGGGCUCAACCUGGGAAUUGCAUUUGAGACUGCUCUGCUCGGGUGCGGAAGAGGGAAGCGGAACUUCCGGUGUAGCGGUGAAAUGCGUAGAUAUCGGAAGGAACACCAGUGGCGAAAGCGGCUUCCUGGUCCGACACCGACGUUCAGGCACGAAAGCGUGGGGAGCAAACAGG